Molecule: ribosomal RNA, 511 nt
Filed under: uncultured bacterium
Lineage: Bacteria
Description: bacterial SSU rRNA
Rfam family: Bacterial small subunit ribosomal RNA
Source: RNAcentral
UAGUCCACGCCCUAAACGAUGCACAUUUUGGUAUCGGCUUGUUGGAGUCGGUGCCGGAGCAAACGCGUUAAAUGUGCCGCCUGGGAAGUACGGCCGCAAGACUAAAACUCAAAGAAAUUGACGGGGACCCGCACAAGCGGUGGAGUAUGUGGCUUAAUUCGAUGCAACGCGAAGAACCUUACCUAGGCUUGACAUGCUUGUCGUACCUUCCCGAAAAGGAAGGGUCGCUUCGGGCGGACAAUGCACAGGUGCUGCAUGGCCGUCGUCAGCUCGUGUCGUGAGAUGUUUGGUUAAGUCCAGCAACGAGCGCAACCCCUGUGAACUGUUGCCAGCGGAUAAUGCCGGGGACUCUGUUCAGACUGCCCAGAUCAACUGGGAGGAAGGUGGGGACGACGUCAGGUCAGUAUGGCCCUUACGCCUAGGGCUGCACACGUACUACAAUGCCCAGCACAAUGAGAACCGAUACCGCAAGGUGGAGGAAAUCUGUAAAACUGGGCCCAGUUCGGAUUGG